This 611-nucleotide ribosomal RNA is filed under the name uncultured bacterium. RNAcentral describes it as "bacterial SSU rRNA". It matches the Rfam family "Bacterial small subunit ribosomal RNA", at positions 338 to 954 of the family's 1533-position model. The record is from RNAcentral.
CCUACGGGAGGCAGCAGUGAGGAAUAUUGGACAAUGGGCGCAAGCCUGAUCCAGCCAUGCCGCGUGCAGGAAGACGGUCCUAUGGAUUGUAAACUGCUUUUGUACGGGAAGAAACACUCCUUCGUGAAGGAGCUUGACGGUACCGUAAGAAUAAGGAUCGGCUAACUCCGUGCCAGCAGCCGCGGUAAUACGGAGGAUCCAAGCGUUAUCCGGAAUCAUUGGGUUUAAAGGGUCCGUAGGCGGUUUAGUAAGUCAGUGGUGAAAGCCCAUCGCUCAACGGUGGAACGGCCAUUGAUACUGCUAGACUUGAAUUAUUAGGAAGUAACUAGAAUAUGUAGUGUAGCGGUGAAAUGCUUAGAGAUUACAUGGAAUACCAAUUGCGAAGGCAGGUUACUACUAAUGGAUUGACGCUGAUGGACGAAAGCGUGGGUAGCGAACAGGAUUAGAUACCCUGGUAGUCCACGCCGUAAACGAUGGAUACUAGCUGUUGGGGGCAACUUCAGUGGCUAAGCGAAAGUGAUAAGUAUCCACCUGGGGAGUACGUUCGCAAGAANAGAACACGAAGAAGUAGACGACGNGAGACGNGCGACGGACGACGACGAGGGAGGAGG